Molecule: non-coding RNA, 75 nt
Organism: Pangasius djambal
Lineage: Eukaryota; Metazoa; Chordata; Actinopteri; Siluriformes; Pangasiidae
Source: the annotation of a GenBank genome assembly
GCAGUCGUGGCCUAAUGGUUAGAGAGUCGCACUUGUAACCCGAAGGUUGUGGGUUUGAGUCUCAGGCCGGCAGGG